Daucus carota subsp. sativus is the source of this 1988-nucleotide long non-coding RNA. RefSeq lists it as uncharacterized. NCBI's taxonomy places the organism in Eukaryota, Viridiplantae, Streptophyta, Magnoliopsida, Apiales, Apiaceae. The transcript is spliced from 4 exons. The record is from RefSeq and is a predicted model, not a curated record.
AAAUAGCCUAUGAAACUAGCUAAAUAAUGCAGUUGAGUUCAGCAAUUUGAAUAAUCUCUGGGUUCCAGCUAAACAAAAGAGUUUAUUCAAUGGCAUCAAUGAAGGCUGAAAAACCUGUUGGAACUUCACUCUUUGGACAAGCCAAGAAGGAGCCUGCCACUGGCAAAGCUACAACAAGUACCACCACCAAAGCUCCGGCUUCCAAGCCAUCCCCGAAGAAAGCUGCCCCAAAGUCUCCUGCACCCAAGAAGAAGGCAGCACCAAAGGCGAAAUCAGCAGCAGCAAAACAGUAACAAGAAUCUGAGGGGAUUGAUAUGUUCUUCUCUGGGAGAGCAUAUGAUGCAGUUACAUAUAUGUCUUUAUCUUUCAAUGUCAAUCUAUAUGAAAUCAAAAUCUGUGUGGCCUAUAUUAUAGUCAUAGCUUAUUUGGGCUAUGCUUUGGUGAAAUAAGAUCUACAUGAUUGACCACGAGUAUUGAUGGUAGCAGUGUUAGAUAGUAAAAUCAGUUUGAAAUAUAAUCACAUAACUUGCAGCAAGAAGUGCAUAGAAGAUAGAGCUAAUCAAUAAAAUUAAUCACUUUUGGGAUUGGUUAUUUUUAUCACUAUUAACAAGAAAAUAUUCAGAAAAUUUUGUAACUCAGCAAAGUUCGGCAUUAUUAUAUAAAUAUGUUUAUUAAUUUAUUUAUUGAUUCACAUGUGAACAAUUUAUAUGCCACAAUACAACAAUUAUUCAAAACUAUUUUAUAAUACCCAGAUUUUCAAUGUUGUAUUAAUAAAUUUAUAAGGUGAUUAAUAAAUUUUAUAUAUUUUUAUUCACUGAUUGAUACAAUGUUUUAAUAAUUAAUUCUUAAUUUCAUCUUAUUAAACCAAUUAUUUAUUAUAAUAAUAGUGUGACAUAAUUUCGUAACUAAAGUCUACGUAGGGUGAUGUAAUUGAUGUCUUUUGAUUUUUCAAAAAAAAUAAAAAUAUCUAAAGAGUUAAUCAUUAAAAUAAUUUAUUUACAUCAAUCCAUCCAUUAUUCAAGUGAGGGGUGUAAAAACUGACAGCUUUAAAUGGAUGACUAGAUUUCUCCCAAAGGCCAUAAUUUUUUUUUAAUCAUACCAAAAUUACUCGAAGGAUCUAGACAUUAGUUGACAUCAUCACCUUAUACAGGUGUAUCUAAUCAGUAAAUAUAAUAAUAAAUAGAAAAGUUAUAUUUUUUCAGAAGGAUCCAGAAGGAACCGGAAUCGAGUAUGCCUUACUUCAAAUGUAACAACUUAUAUAAUGGUGUUGAGCAUCUAUAGCAUCGUCACCUCCGAUCCCCUUCCCCCUCCCCCAACCUAAUAGUUGUAAACAAAAUAUUUUGUGUAGCUAAUUUCAAAUUGAUGAUUGAUCAAUUGCCUUGUAAAUAAGAUGCCAGCUGACCACAUCAUAUUAUUCUAAUGUCAAAAGAUAGGUUGGUACAUUCUAUUAUUUAAUAAGAUUUUAAUAUGUUUGAGAGUUCUGAUUUACAAUUUUCUCUCUCAAAUCAGAGACCACAAAAUUCACACCCAUCACUAAAUCAUCUAAAUUACACCCAUCAGUGAAACUCACCAUGUAUCUAUCCUAAUAAUCCCGAAUAUUCUUUAAAUCAAUAUUAUAUUGAUCUAUGUCAUCUAUAUGUCUAAGAUCUAUCAUUUCUCGGGCAUAUAUCUAUCAUCAAUAGUGAACCGUACAUAUAUACAUACACACAUAUCAUAUAUGUUUUCAAUUGUAAAAACAAGAAAACUUUCAUUCAAAAUAUAGAUCUAGAUGAAGGAUAAUUAUUAACUGCUUGAUGUGCUGCCAGAUAUCAUCAAUACAAUACAAGAAUUUCUGGUCUUCUAAUACAGAGAUUGGGGUCAUGAGGGGAAGAUCAUUAAGGAGCCUUCGUGUGUGCGGGGGCCCAUCUCAUCUCUACAAACAUUCAGCCUUUAGUUUUCAAGAACAACUGAGAAAGAUGUCUUCCAUAAGAAGGCUUUUGUCCCUAUCC